Molecule: microRNA precursor, 148 nt
Filed under: Marmota monax (woodchuck)
Lineage: Eukaryota; Metazoa; Chordata; Mammalia; Rodentia; Sciuridae
Source: RNAcentral
AAAGUACUCCCUCAAGGGAUGGCUAACAGUCCAACUAUGUGUCAAAUAUAUGUUAACAAAGCAAUCCAGCCACUUAGAAAUCAAAAUCCUGAACUACAAAUAUUUGACACAUAGUUGGACUGUUAGCCAUCCCUUGAGGGAGUACUUU